GUGUCAGCCGCCGCGGUAAUACAGAGGGUGCAAGCGUUAAUCGGAUUUACUGGGCGUAAAGCGUGUGUAGGUGGCUACCUAAGUCGAUUGUGAAAUCCCUGGGCUCAACCUGGGAAUUGCAGUCGAUACUGGGCAGCUCGAGUUCGGUAGAGGGUGACGGAAUUCCCGGUGUAGCGGUGAAAUGCGUAGAUAUCGGGAGGAACAUCGAUGGCGAAGGCAAUCACCUGGGCCUGAACUGACACUGUGACACGAAAGCGUGGGUAGCAAACAGGAUUAGAUACCCCGGUAGUCC
This 292-nucleotide ribosomal RNA is filed under the name uncultured bacterium. Its description in RNAcentral is "partial 16S ribosomal RNA". It matches the Rfam family "Bacterial small subunit ribosomal RNA", at positions 505 to 796 of the family's 1533-position model. The record is from RNAcentral.